CCUACGGGUGGCAGCAGUGGGGAAUAUUGGUCAAUGGACGAAAGUCUGAACCAGCAAAGCAGCGUGAAGGAUGACUGCCCUAGGUAUGGUAAACUUCUUUUAUAUGGGAGUAAAAUGUUCCACGUGUGGGAUUUGGUAUGUACAAUAUCAUUAAGGAUCGGCUAACUCCGUGCCAGCAGCCGCGGUAAUACGGAGGAUCCGAGCGUUAUCCGGAUUUAUUGGGUGUAACGAGAGCGUAGAUGGAUUGUGAAGUCAGAUGUGAAAGUUUGCGGCUCAACCGUAAAAGUGCAGUGGAGACUGGCAGUCUGGAGUACAGUAGAGGUGAGCGGAAUUCGUGGUGUAGCGGUGAAAUGCUUAGAUAUCACGAAGAACUCCGAUGGCGAAGGCAGUUCACUGGACAGCAACUGACACUGAGGCUCGAAAGUGUGGGUAUCAAACAGGAUUAGAUACCCGGGUAGUC
RNAcentral lists this ribosomal RNA (460 nucleotides) under uncultured bacterium. Its description in RNAcentral is "partial 16S ribosomal RNA". It matches the Rfam family "Bacterial small subunit ribosomal RNA", at positions 338 to 795 of the family's 1533-position model. The record is from RNAcentral.